AAGGGCACCACAAGAACGCGUGGAGCAUGUGGCUUAAUUUGACUCAACGCGGGAAAUCUUACCGGGUCCGGACACACUGAGGAUUGACAGAUAUAUGCCAUGGUAUUCUCUCGGGAGUACUAUGGCUGAAAGAUGCUAGUUCUUUCAUGAUUAUGUGAUAGGUGGUGCAUGGCCGUUCUUAGUUCGUGGAGUGAUCUGUCUGCUUAAUUGCGUAUCAAUAAUAGAGACCUAGUAUACGCGCAUAUUUCACGCGGUAGUGACCCCCUCUCCGGAGGUGUGUGUCGCACGCUGUGGAUAUGUGCACUGGUCUCCGAUAGCAACGAACGUGACCGUACUCUAUUGUUGCAGCGACAGUGCGUACCUUCGGGUGCGUACUACCACUGCUUAGCGUGUUAUGCUCCUCGUGGGUGUUCGCGCAUUAAACUAUAGAGACCGCUGUUUUUUCCUUAAACCAGAGGAAGGAUACGGCAAUAACAGGUCUGUGAUGCCCUCAGAUGUUCCGGGCUGCACACGUGCUACAAUGAUCAUUGCACUGUGCAUCUAACCCAAUGUGCGCGGACGCCUCGGCGUGGUACUCUUUCGAGGGUGUCAUGUCCUGAGUGCGACCGCGCCGAACCUGCUUCGAAAGUAAAAAUUUCCAGCGGGUAAUCCAUUAGAAGUAAUGACUCGCUUUAGACCUUGGCACACUAUAUGUACGCGCGGGUUCUACCCGGCCAACCUCUGUGUUGGUGCAGUGUGUAGCUCGUUGUUUCGUACGUGCCACUCCGUAUUAAUUCAUACGUGGGGAUAGAUCAUUGUUUAAUUGUUGGUCUCGGUCUUAACUAGGAAUGCCUUGUACGGGUCUUUGGUUCAACAUACCACCCGGAAUACGUCCCUGCCCUUUGUACACACCGCCCGUCGCUCUUACCGAUGGAUUAUACUAUGAAUCUGUAGGACUGCCAAAAGUGUCACUCGUGCCGCUUUAGUGGAAAUAUAUAUGAAUAGUGUGAUCUAAAGGAAAGAGAAGUCGUAACAAGGCAUCGGUAGGUGAACCUGCAGAAGGAUCA
This 1046-nucleotide ribosomal RNA is filed under the name Ammonia sp. RNAcentral describes it as "SSU rRNA". It matches the Rfam family "Eukaryotic small subunit ribosomal RNA", at positions 1160 to 1828 of the family's 1831-position model. The record is from RNAcentral. Lineage: Eukaryota; Foraminifera; Rotaliida; Rotaliidae.